AAGGGGAAGAGCAGGAAAGUGAAGAAGAAGGGCGUGAUGAAGUAGGAGAUGAGGAGAUAGAUUUUGAGGAGGAUGACUGAACUUUUUAUGUUUUUUUAAGAUUGUAUUAAUUCUUGGAUGAUUUUUAUUUGAUUUUUUUAGGAGUAGGAUUAAUUGUAGAUUAUUAGUUGUUUUAUGUCCUGCUCUAAUUUUUCUACGUAAGAACCCCACAUGGAGGAGGCACAACACUUAGAUCUUUCAAAAAGCAAUAGAAGAAGCACACACCAAUAGCCUACGGAACUAUCACG
Molecule: long non-coding RNA, 287 nt
Filed under: Gossypium raimondii (Peruvian cotton)
Lineage: Eukaryota; Viridiplantae; Streptophyta; Magnoliopsida; Malvales; Malvaceae
Description: long non-coding RNA (GRAI_LNC000615)
Source: RNAcentral